Molecule: non-coding RNA, 119 nt
Organism: Triticum aestivum (bread wheat)
Lineage: Eukaryota; Viridiplantae; Streptophyta; Magnoliopsida; Poales; Poaceae
Source: Rfam
GGAUGCGAUCAUAGCAGCACUAAAGCACCGGAUCCCAUCAGAACUCCGAAGUUAAGCGUGCUUGGGUAAGAGUAGUCCUAGGAUGGGUGACCUCGUGGGAAGUCCUCGUGUUGCAUUCC